Gavialis gangeticus (Gharial) is the source of this 1764-nucleotide long non-coding RNA. RefSeq lists it as uncharacterized. The record is from RefSeq and is a predicted model, not a curated record. Lineage: Eukaryota; Metazoa; Chordata; Crocodylia; Gavialidae. The transcript has 4 exons.
UAUGCUAUCACAGCAUAAUUUUUUUAAAGUUAGAAACCUAGUAAAAGUAGGAGUAUAAAAAAAAAAAAGCUUGCUGCAACUAUUGGUUUAAAUGAACAGAUAGGCUUACAUUUCUGAUGGCAUUCCUUAGCAGUGGAAAUCUUUUUAGUGAACUGUUCUAAAAGAAAAACUACUUCUCUAUAUACGCACUCAAGUUAUAUGAACUGUUGUGUUUUAAAACAGGUAUUGUCAAAUUGAUUUUUUAACCGUUUUCUUUUUUUACAAAUCUAAAUUUUUUCUUAUCUCAGUUUCAUAACCAUCCCAGUUUUUAAAUAUUUUAAAUCAGCUAUGUGUUUCUUCAUUAUGUAAAACUGUUUCCUAGGAUGUCAACCCUUUUGGACCACUUGAAAUGAAGUCUCAUUGAAUUUGAUGCAGAAGCUGAGACAGACCGUCCUCUGAUGUAAUGUAACCAACAUCUGUGUUGCUCUUCUGAAGAAUCUUGUGGAACUUGCAAACCUUUAGGAUACUGAAAGAGACCAGACAAAAGUUAUUGAUAGCAAAACUUUAGAACUUACAAAUGGACAACUGAAAUGGUGACUGCAAGGAUAUCAAAGAUCCAACCCUCAGGCCAUAUCGGUCCUGUGGACCCACUCAUCCAGUCCCUUUGGUCUGAGUUGACCCACGUUUAUGGAGUGGCCCCAAGUGCAGGGCUCAGGAUGUGCAUCACAUGCAGUGCCUGCUUCAGGCAGCUCAUGAUCCCUACAUGUGGUGCCCACUGUGGGACUCAUGCUGCACAUGACGCCCAUCCCAGCCCAUUUGGAAUCUGCUCUGCACAAGAAGCCCAACCCACUGGCCUGGUCCAGGACUGUUCUGCAUGCUGUGGACACUCAGGUAUUUCAAUGAACUGCUUUCAAUUUACUGGUUGGGAAAUUAGUUCCUUUUUACUUCUUGGCAAUAUUUGAAUUCUCUGCUCUCUCUGACUCAACUCCUCCUGCUUCUAAACAUUUUUCAGUUGUUUCUUUAAUUACCUAGUUGCUCCUAUAUAAAAUAUCCCAUCAGACAAAGUAGAACAGCUAGAAGCCACCUUGCAAGGAAAACACAUUUUUGCAUGGAUGAUCCCAUGAAUUCUCUGCGAAUCAUAUUUUAUAAACUCCUGGGAUUUGGUCACCCCACUGACCUCCUAGAGACAGCCCUACCAAAAAAUAAUUUUUAACAAGAAGCUCUGUUUCAAGAGUGCCUGUGCUUCCAGACAGCAAGAGUGAACAAAUAAGGAAUAUAAUUUUUUAUUUCCUAUUUAAAAGGAAGGAGAGAGGUAGCAAAUUUAAGUGCAUACUUAUGCUACUGAUAUGUACCGUGAAAAGCAGAAGUGUUUAAUUUAUGAAAUCUGAAAUGGAUGUGUGAAGCCCAGGAGGUGGAGAUGGGAGGUUACCCCCAAACUGAAAUUGACACUUAGUAAAAAUCUGGUGAUUCUAAAAAACACAUUUUGUUCUUCAGAGCCUUAUUGUAAGCCUCACCAGUAAGAUUUUGAGAAUGUGUGCUGAACUUAUUGUAUAUCAAAGCUAAUGGUAUGAAAUACUCCAUCCUGUGCAGGGCAAUCAUCUAAAAAUUUUCCUUCAGCAUAAUAGAGUUUGCUGAGGGGUUCACGUAGCACACAGUCAGCCCCAGGACUCUUUUCAGCCCACCCCUUUUCUGUGAACGUCUAAUUAGUUUUGUGACUAAUCAUCUGAAAAGCAAAAAUUAGAAGCACCUUAUGCUGAAAUUUAAUAAAAUAUGAUUUACAGUUUU